CUACUUCGGUAGUGAAUUAGCGGCGAACGGGUGAGGAACACGUGAGGAAUCUGCCUUCUACACUGGGAUAACUCCGGGAAACCGGGGCUAAUACCGGAUAUGAAACUUGGUGGCAUCACCGAGUUUGGAAAGUUUUUCGGUAGAAGAUGACCUCGCGGCCUAUCAGCUUGUUGGUGAGGUAAUGGCUCACCAAGGCGACGACGGGUAGCCGGCCUGAGAGGGCGACCGGCCACACUGGGACUGAGACACGGCCCAGACUCCUACGGGAGGCAGCAGUGGGGAAUAUUGGGCAAUGGAGGAAACUCUGACCCAGCGACGCCGCGUGCGGGAUGAAGGCCUUCGGGUUGUAAACCGCUUUCAGUAGGGAAGAAGCGAAAGUGACGGUACCUACAGAAGAAGCACCGGCUAACUAUGUGCCAGCAGCCGCGGUAAUACAUAGGGUGCAAGCGUUGUCCGGAAUUAUUGGGCGUAAAGAGCUCGUAGGUGGUUCGUUACGUCGGAUGUGAAAAUCUGGGGCUCAACCCCAGACCUGCAUCCGAUACGGUCGAGCUAGAGUUUGGUAGGGGAGACUGGAAUUCCUGGUGUAGCGGUGGAAUGCGCAGAUAUCAGGAGGAACACCAAUGGCGAAGGCAGGUCUCUGGGCCAAUACUGACACUGAGGAGCGAAAGCGUGGGGAGCGAACAGGAUUAGAUACCCUGGUAGUCCACGCCGUAAACGGUGGGCGCUAGUUGUGGGAACCUUCCACGGUUUCUGCGA
This 756-nucleotide ribosomal RNA is filed under the name uncultured Actinomycetes bacterium. RNAcentral's name for it is "bacterial SSU rRNA". It matches the Rfam family "Bacterial small subunit ribosomal RNA", at positions 75 to 846 of the family's 1533-position model. The record is from RNAcentral. Lineage: Bacteria; Bacillati; Actinomycetota; Actinomycetes.